CUAAAGGCAGUGUGAGGAAUCAUGGUUGAAGCAGCGUGAGAGAGCACAGCACAGUCCUGAAACUCAAGUCAGGUAGAGGAUAUGUCUGGGUUUCCUGGUUGAGAAGGGAGAAGUAGUAAAAUGGAAACUCAAUUUCUGAACUUCACAAGAUUAUAGAAGCCUCCUGAACUCCUGUGGCUUGUGGACACUUCGUUUUCAGAACCCGGAAAAAAUGGAAUGUGUCUCAUGCUUCCUUGCUCUGACCAUCGCUAUCUUCUUCCUUCUCUUUUAUGAGCUAGUGUAGCUACUCUAGCCUAUGUGGAUCGCCCAGGACAUGCUCUUCAUCUUAAAGGCAGCUGAUUAAACCAUGAAUUGCAUCCUCAA
Peromyscus leucopus (white-footed mouse) is the source of this 363-nucleotide long non-coding RNA. RefSeq lists it as uncharacterized. The transcript is spliced from 2 exons. NCBI's taxonomy places the organism in Eukaryota, Metazoa, Chordata, Mammalia, Rodentia, Cricetidae. The record is from RefSeq and is a predicted model, not a curated record.